AGGCGCUGGGCCAGCCUUUCCCAGCUGGCGGGGGCGCUGGUGCCUGCCUGGACUGCACGACCGGGCUGUCCCGACACCAGCAGGCUGUUGGAGCUCUGGCUCCGGGGCCAGACACACUUACUGGUGUUUCUGCUUUAAAACAAAACCCAAAACCCUUCCUCAGCAAGAGGUGUGCUGCGCUGAGAGCUGAAGUCAGCAUUCACCUGUUUUGCAGAGACCGUCUCCGAGGGAGGCAGCUCGGGGAGCAGCGCCUGGAUUAUCUUCCGCCUCUAGACCCAGAGCGGUAACUGCCUUCCCUCACCAGCCCCGGAAUAAAGACCCUUUAUUAUACACCUUGUUAAAACGGCUAUUUAUUUUUUUAAUUACUCAGUGAAUUUUAUUACAUUUGUAGGUAUACAACGAUCAUCACAACCCAAUUUUAUAGCAUUUCCAUCCCAAACCCCAGCCCAUCCCCCCACCCCCCAACCUGUCUCCUUUGGAAACCAUACGUUUUUCAAAGUCUGUGAGUCAGUAUCUGUUCUGCAAAGAGGUUCAUUGUAUCCCUUUAUUAGAUUCCACAGGUAAGUGACAGCAUUUGAUGCUGGUGUCUCAUUGCCUGACUUCACUCAGCAGGAUCAUUUCUAGGUCCAUCCAUGUGGCUGCAAAUGCCGUGUGUCUUUCUUUUGAAUGGCUGCGUAAUAUUCCACUGUGUGUGUGGACCACGUCUUCUGGAUCCCCUCCUCUGUCGAUGGGCAUUUAGGUUGUUUCCAUGUCUUGGCUGUUGUAUAUAGUGCUGCAGUGAACAUCAGAGUCCGUGUGUCUUUGUGAGUCGUGGUUUUCUCUGGAUAGAUGCCCAGGAGUGGGAUUGCUGGAUCAAAUGGUAGUUCUGUUUUUAGUUUUCUGAGGCAUCUCCAUACUGUUUUCCACAGUGGUUGCACCAGUUUACAUUCCCACCAACAGGGUACUAGGGUUCCUUUUUCUCCACACCCUCCCUAACACUUACUGUUUGUAGGCUUUUUGAUGACAGCCGUUCUGGCUGGUGUAAUAUGAUACCUCAUAGUGGUUUUGGUUUGCAUUUCUCUAAUAAUGAGUGAUGUUGAACAUCUUUUCAUGUGUUUUUUGACCAUCUGUAUGUCUUUGGAGAACUGUCUGUUUAGAUCUUCUGCUCAUUUUUUGAUGGGGUGGUUUGUUUGGUAUUGAGCUGCAGAAGGUGUUUAUAAAUUUUGGAGAUUAAUCCCUUGGCAGUCAAUUCAUUUGCAAAGAUUUUUCUCCCAUUCUGUGGGUUGUCUUUUCGUUUUGUUUAGGAUUUCCUUUACUUUGCAGAAACUUUUUAAGUUUAAUUAAGUCCCAUUUGUUAAUUUUUGUUUUUAUUGUCAUUACUCUAGGAGGUGGAUCUGAGAAGGAUAUUGCCAUGGUUUAUGUCAGAGGGUGUUUGGCCUAUAUUUUCCUCUAAGAGUUUUAUAGUAUCUGGUCUUAUAUCUAGGUCUUUAAUCCAUUUGGAGUUUAUUUUUGUGUAUGGUGUUAGGGAGUGUUCUAAUUUCAUUCUUUUCCAUGUGGCUGUCCAGUUUUCCCAGCACCACUUAUUGAAGGGGCUGUCUUUUCUCCAUUGGAUAUUCUUGCCUCCUUUGUCAGAUUAGUUAACUGUAGCUGCGUGGGUUUAAUUCUGGGCUUUCUAUCCGGCUCCACUGAGCUGUAUUUCUGUCUUUGUGCCAGUACCAUACGGUUUUGAUGACUGUAGCUUUGUAGUAUGGUCUGAACUCAGGGAGCCUGAUUCCUCCAGCUCCAUUUUUCUUUCUCGAGAUGGACUUUGGCUAUUCUGGGUCUUUUGUGCCUCCAAACAAACUUUAAAAUAUUUUGUUGUAGUUCUGUGGAAAAUGUUUUUGGUAAUUUGAUAGGGAUUGCAUUGAAUUGGUAGAUUGCCUUGGGUAAUAUAGUCAUUUUGAUAAUAUUGAUUCUUCCAGUCCAAGAGCAUGGUAUGUCUUUCCUUCUGUGUCAUCUUUGAUUUCUUUCAUCAGCAUCUUAUAAUUUUCAGAGAACAGGUCUUUUGUCUCUUUAAGUAGGUAUUUUUCCUAAGUAUCUCAUUCUUUUUGAUGUGAUGGUAAAUGGGAUUGUUUCCCUAAUUUCUCUUUCUGAUCUUUCAUUGUUAGUAUAUAGAAAUGCAAAUUCCUGGUACUUAUUCUGGUUUCUUUCCAGAAGGAAGGUGGUAAACCCACUCCAAGAUUUUAAAUCUGCAGUUGGAAUGUAUCUGUCACAUGAAAAUGGGAAGUUGCUGCUUUGGGUCUGUUUUGUUUUGUCUUUAAAUAAACCCUUAUUGUGGAAGGAUUGGAUUCAGACUCAGGCUGGCUUUUUAUUAAUUUGAAUUUAUGGAAUGUUGAAAUGAGUUAAAACGAAUGGCAUCGGGGAAGACCUGAAGUUUGCAAACUGGGAGAGCCCACUUGUGUGUCCAGAGCCCCUGCCAGCUUAGCCCCCUCUCACUUCCCAGGCUGCUGCAACCCCUUGAAGAAACAAAAUAUUUAGGCACAGUGACUUUCACAACGUGGGGGGAAAUAAAUCUCAGAUGAAUAGGAGAUGGAAACUGGGCUGGGCAGGGAAGAGGGUACAGAAACUAGACCAUCGAAUACCUACUAGGUACAGACACUGCUAGUUGCUUUGCCCCUGGGAACUUUAACCCCCGUGUAGUUUUAUAAAUGAAAACAGGUUUAGAGACAGGGGCAACCCCAAAACCUAUACCUCUGACUCUCACCCUAAUGUUUGUUAAGCGAAUGAAGGAAAUGAGAACAGAGGCUCAGAGAGGUUAGGUGAUUUGCCUGAAGUCACCCAGCAGUUAAGGGGAUCAGGUCAGUUUCACGUCAGUCCUUCGUUCUCAGGUACUCUGUGCCUAGAGUUCCAUCCUGGGAAUUGACCUUGUGUCUUCCACCCAGCAUGGCCUUUUUGAGUCUCUCCUCUGGGCCCAGAGCAGGUUGUAGCUCCAGCACUUGGCUUACCUCCCUGACUGCGAGAGAAACAGGGAAGAGAAAAGAAGCAGAGGCACACCCCCAAGGGCAGAGUAGACUGUGCUCCCACCCCAGCUCUCACAUCUGUCUCCCUGCAGUACAUACCGGCAUGUAAUUGUGCAACUGCUGGAGUGGGAGCUCUUUGAGGUCAGGAAGCCUGUCUUUGUAACCUCUGUCACCACCAAUUAACAUGGUGUUGGCACUAGGAGGGGUCAGUACACGUCUAGCGGUUAAAUGUCCACAGUACUUAUGUUGAAGGCAUUAGAACAUCUUUAAUUGAAUGUCGCACUCCCUAAUGGUGGGGGCUCAGGUCAUGCUGUCUUGGUUCCCCAGGGCCUAUUAGAAUGCACAGCCAUGUGGGACUUUGAUGGGCAGUGGGAGAACCUGGUUGGAGAAGGUGGCCAGAGGGUGGAGAGUUGAGGGCCAGGAAGAUGGAGCAGGAGAGGGAAGGACAGAUGCAUUUCACUGACUUGACAGUUUCGCCUGAUGUUUGUCUGACUAGCCACAAGCAGAAAGUUAUUUUGGGAAACAAAUAAUUUAGCUGUAGGAUAGCCACAGAGAUAUACUUCAAAAUACCAGUCUAGGUAGGUCUCCUGUGGCCGCAGCAGGUUAAGGAUCCCAUGUUGUUGCUGCUGUGGCGCAGGUUUGAUCCCUGGCGUGGGAAUGUCCGUGUGCCUCAG
RNAcentral lists this long non-coding RNA (3652 nucleotides) under Sus scrofa (pig). RNAcentral describes it as "lncRNA (ENSSSCG00060058517.1)". Lineage: Eukaryota; Metazoa; Chordata; Mammalia; Artiodactyla; Suidae. The record is from RNAcentral.